AAGUGCUGAAUGGCAGAAUGUCCGUGAGUCAUCGAAUCUUUGAACGCACACUUGCGCCCGUCUGGGUAUUCCGGAGGGCACUGCCUGGUUCGAGCGUCAUUACUCCCCCCUCCAGGCCCCGGCCUUGUGUCUAGUUGGGACUCUCCGCCGCUCUGCCCAGAUGCGGGCUGGAGCCCUCAAGUAUCAUGUGCUACGACGCUCCGGCGGGGGCCCUUGGAAUGCGGUCGAGCUCCUACGCACGCGUCUGGACGGCUCAUCCAGCGGCCCGGAUCUGAACCGAUGAAUUAUUCAGGUUGACCUCGGAUCAGGUAGGGAUACCCGCUGAACUUAAGCAUAUCAAUAAGCGGAGGAAAAAGAAACCCAACCAGGGGAUUGCCUCAGUAACGGGCGAAGUGAAAGCGGCAACAGCUCAAAUUUUGAAAUCUGGCUCCCCUUGGCGGGCCUUAUUUUAUUUGGAGUGAUUCUUCGGGCUGGUCGUCUCUUUUCAACGUGGUAAUA
RNAcentral lists this ribosomal RNA (498 nucleotides) under uncultured Herpotrichiellaceae. Its description in RNAcentral is "eukaryotic LSU rRNA". The stretch from base 295 to 498 matches the Rfam family "Eukaryotic large subunit ribosomal RNA", at positions 1 to 197 of the family's 3401-position model. The record is from RNAcentral. Lineage: Eukaryota; Fungi; Ascomycota; Eurotiomycetes; Chaetothyriales; Herpotrichiellaceae.